CACGUGGUUCGUGAUGAGGCGAUAAAUUGCGACUCAGUCUCGUUAACUGUCUCUUCCUUGUUGCGGUGAUGGAGGAUGAUGAAGCUGCGGCCCGGGGACCGAAACCAACCCGCUGAAGGCCUCGACUCACGGACUGAAGAAUCCAGCAUGGAUGGAUGUUUAUAAGGUGGUGAGAAUCCUACAGGAGCUUUGCUUUGUCUUCUCAGUUUAAGAUUUUACAGUUUAAAAGUACAACAUUCAACAUGAAAGCUUUGUUAUAGUGUUCACUGUUAUUAUCUAUGCAUAGGCCAUCUGUAAUGAAUUUCUAUUUGAGCUAUUUAGUGGAUGCUUUAUUAGUUACAUCUGUACAGUUGAUUUCAUUUCAAUAAAGCCACUUUGCUAUA
Molecule: long non-coding RNA, 383 nt
Organism: Acanthochromis polyacanthus (spiny chromis)
Lineage: Eukaryota; Metazoa; Chordata; Actinopteri; Pomacentridae
Exons: 3
Source: RefSeq, a predicted model, not a curated record